CGGGGAGGUAGUGACGAAAAAUAACAAUACAGGACUCUAACGAGGCCCUGUAAUUGGAAUGAGUACAUUCUAAAACUUUUAACGAGUAUCCAUUGGAGGGCAAGUCUGGUGCCAGCAGCCGCGGUAAUUCCAGCUCCAACAGUGUAUGCUAAAGUUGUUGCGGUUGAAAAGCUCGUAGUUGGAUCUAGGGCGGGCGCCGCCGGUCCGUCGCAAGGCGUGUCACUGGCGGCGUGUGCCUUGCCUUCGGUUCUCCGUCGGUGCUCUUGACUGAGUGUCGGCGGUGGCCGAUAAGUUUACUUUGAAAAAAUUAGAGUGUUCAAAGCAGGCUGUUCGCCUGCAUAGUGUUGCAUGGAAUAAUGGAAUAGGACCUCGGUUCUAUUUUGUUGGUUUUCGGAGCACGAGGUAAUGAUUAAGAGGGACAGACGGGGGCGUCCGUACUCUGCCGUUAGAGGUGAAAUUCUUGGAUCGGCGGAAGACGAACUACUGCGAAAGCAUUCGCCAAGAAUGUUUUCUUUAAUCAAGAGCGAAAGUCAGAGGUUCGAAGACGAUCAGAUACCGUCCUAGUUCUGACUAUAAACGAUGCCAACUAGCGAUCGGGAGGCGUUACCAUGACGACCUUCCCGGCAGCUUCCGGGAAACAAAAGUCUUUGGGUUCUGGGGGAAGUAUGGUUG
Molecule: ribosomal RNA, 672 nt
Filed under: Pyura australis
Lineage: Eukaryota; Metazoa; Chordata; Ascidiacea; Stolidobranchia; Pyuridae
Description: SSU rRNA
Rfam family: Eukaryotic small subunit ribosomal RNA
Source: RNAcentral